GGCUGCCGCCUUCGCCAAUUCCUUCUCCCCUUCCGUCCUCCUCCUCCCGCAUACCCCCGUUAGUAUCCCUAGCAAUGGAUGAGGAGGCUGAGCCACCGCCGCCGCCGGCCAUGGCCUUCCUCUCCUCUUCCUUGGUCGCAUCUUCCUCAUCUAGGCAGUUAGAGCGGAUGGCAUGGCGGGGCGCGCGGCAGUGCGGAGAGGCAGAAGCCACCGUCUCUGCCGGUCGACGAAGGAGAAACGGCCGCAGCCGAGGAGGACGGCCAUGGAGGGAAGGGCGCAGCCUCAAUCCGGAUGAGGGGAGCAGCGGCCGCACCCCUCUUCUUCCCGAGCAGCGGCCGGCGGCCUCGGCUUGGAGCUUCGCCCUCUUAUUCGCGCGCGGUGCAGCGGCGACCUGAGGGCGAGUUCGAGGCACAGUGGUGGUUCCAGCACACGACGCAGGGGGGGUGGUGCGGCGGUGCUUCCUUGCCUCAUCCGUCCGGCGCCAGAUGCACGCCCGACAUUGCCAUGGAGGCUCCGACCCCGACGCACCCUCCUGGUUCCUGGUUGCAUCUCCCCCUAGUGAGCUCCUCCUUUCCUCAGUUCCUCCUAAUUAAUUUUCAUUCUGCAAUAGAGUUUGGGUGCCCGGGUCUCUUUUAACUUAAUCCCCACAAAUCCUCAGAUUGCUAUGUGCAAAUUCUAUUUUAUCCAUGCCUACACAGUGCACAACAGAACUCCUAGCAGGCUUGCAAUCUCAUGCGAAGGGAAGAUGUGUUUCUCUGUGGCUAGCACCUGCUCGAUCAAAUGCCUAGCCAUUUCAAUCGUUUAAUAUAGGAAAUACAACGCGCACUAAAACAGGAGGCCAUUCUGUGCAACCUGUUCUCUUUAGUUCUAGGAAUCCUAUGGUAGAGGGUGGUGUAGUUCUAGAAAUAACUUUCAGCCAUUUGUAGUUUUUCAGGUUGUUGUGUGACAACUUUGCGGUGCGGGGCUGCGUGCAGAUGGCGCUCAAGGCGGCCAACUCCGUCGUGGGGCUCACCGGCAUGGACGUCAUCCUCUACACGCUUUGGGUGCUCCGGGCCUGGUCCAAGCAGCACUCCGUCGUGGGGCUCGCUCAGUUGCUCACUACUGGAUUUGCUGUUUUACCCCCCAAUUUUUUGCUGCCGCUCCUCAUUCCUCUGACCGAAUUUGUGGCGAAAUCUGUCGCUCGGCUAGCCGACGCACCCACCGCCGACCGAAUUCCCACCGUACUGCCUGGGCAGCGUUGUCGCCGUUGUGCGUGGGGAAACUAGCACUGUGCCAAGGUCAAGUGCACCGAGCUCAUCCAUUGUGGUUUAGAUCAGCUUUUGCCUUUCCUUGAAUGCUCUUGUUCAUAUUUAUGCAUGUUUCCUGAUUCCCCUUUUCUCAUCUGUGAUGUGAUGCUCAUACGAAAAGGAAGAGUAAGAAGAAAUCUAUGAAAGAUGAUAAAUUGGCAAUAGAAGAACAUGUAGGUGUAGAAGAUGGUUGAUGCUAGCAAUUGGACUCUUAUCUCAGAGUAAAUUAGCUUCAGAUAUCAGAAUAGUACACUGGUUCAGAAAUCAGAAUAACUACUAUCUGGGUGCAACUUGCUGGCAGGGCAGUUAAAUUAGAUAUCUUAUUUUUCAUUGUAUCUUGCUUCUUACUUUUACAAAUUAGUGUUCAAGACAACCUUCUGUUGUUUCAUUCCAGCAAGUUAGCUUACAGCCGAAGAUAGUUUAUCCAAUCCAAAUGGUGUAGGUCGAACAAAACUUAUGGCUGGGGUAAAAAUAUUUGUGGUGAUCAGCAUCUUCCUCUCGCUUCUCUGUUAAGAUGUCGACGCGGCGCUAUGCACCGGAUGAUUUAUACUACUACCAUGUUUUUUAUGUUGGGUCUGAGAAACUAGAGAAUUCAUGCCUCUUUGCCAUGCCAAGAGUAUUCUAGGGAUUUCUUAUGAAUAUACUGUAUGUAAUAUGUGAUGGCUAUUUUGAUUAAGAGAUCAAUUUUUAAGCAGGUUUAGCUACACUCUUCUCAGCCUGGAAACCAUCAUGUGCUUGCUGACCUGCUCGGGCCACAUCGCCGCUGAAACUGCAAACAACCCCUGACUGUCUUUUGUAUACUUGGAAGCGUCUCAUACUAGGAGUUGCGUUAGCCUAUUUAAGAGUGCUUACAUGGCAGCUGCUGCUGGUUUAACAAAAUUCCUCAAAGCCUUUUGCGUUGUCACAUAAAGACCAAACCUUGUGUGCUUUUUUCCCAGAUAUAUCCAUUUCAAAAAUAUAAAUGAUAUUUCAAAAAGAGGGUCAUAUCUCUAGCAGUUAAGUUUUGAACUGGAACUGUUGACUCCUAAUAAUAGUUUGCUGAAACCUUAAGUCCCAGUUAUGUUCUUGGAGCUAUGUGACCUUAGAUGUACUGUGUCUUGGUGUUAUGGACUAUUUUGCCUUAACCUGCCAUGUAUGUAGCACGUGAUCUUUGUAUUCUUGCUUGUGAUACUGGAAGCUGCCAUCGCUGCCGAUGUAUUUCUGAAUAGCUACUGGGAGGAGGUAAGGAGCACUUCAGCUGCUAUAUACUUGCUAUUUCUGUGUGUAUUUUAGAACCAAAAUAAGGUCUCUUUUGUCGCCAAACUUUUUGCUGGAAUGGAAGUCGUCUUAAGAACAAAAUGAAAUUAUGACUGGUCGAACCUGAGAAAGUUUACUUCUAAAAUAUAUCAAUAUGUCGUCUUAAGAACAAAAUGAAAUUAUGUCUGCUCCAACCUGAGAAAGUUUCUUUCUAAAAUAUGUCCAUAUGUAGUUUGCAUAGUAUGGCCUUUUCUUUUCACGUAGUAUGAGAAAUACAUGCAGUGCUCUACUUAAGAUAUUCUCUUCAAAAUGACAUCUCUAAAAUUACUUGAUCGCAGAUCAUUAUUGAGACAUGUUUGUUGCAUAUUUUUCCUUUUUAUUUUUCACCCUUGCAUCGAGUGGUUUAUUUAUCAGGUCUGUUUUAUGUUAUUUUCUCUGUUCCAAUAUAAAUAUUCAUUUUAAAGGUUUGCUUCCUGGUGUUCUAAUUUGGGAUUUCUUGCCCUACUUUUGGCAGUACCUCCAUCAAAAUUAGGAAGACGUUUUACUAAUGUUGUGUUUUUUGGGCCAUGCUUGUGGAUAUACUCACUCCGUGCCUUUUAGAGAUUCCAUGCAAUUUAAUUUCAGUGAUGUCUCAUCCUUCUCAUUUGCUGUCCAGUUUUUUCUUAGAGCAAUGGUCUUAUGAUUCUGUUUGUAUCUAAUGCCAUUUUCUAUGUUUUUCUUUCUUAUUUUCAGGACAAAUCCCACCAGACUUGGCUCUAAUUGAAGUUAUCAUAAGAGGUGAGCCAGAUGGCAUGGCGUUCAAACAAAGCCAUAUUUUUUAUUUAGUCUACUAUAUAAUGUACUGCUAUCACUAUAUGGCAUAGAAGAACCAUAAAAAUCUGUUAUCCUGGACUGCCAGUGGCUUGCUUUUGGUGUAUCAGUGUAUUUUUGAACUGGAUGAAGAAAACCUAUCACCAUAUGUAAUCGACUUGGUACUAAGGUACCAUUUUCUAUGAGAUGCAUGUAUUCUGCUUG
Molecule: long non-coding RNA, 3536 nt
Organism: Triticum dicoccoides
Lineage: Eukaryota; Viridiplantae; Streptophyta; Magnoliopsida; Poales; Poaceae
Exons: 2
Source: RefSeq, a predicted model, not a curated record